RNAcentral lists this ribosomal RNA (253 nucleotides) under uncultured bacterium. Its description in RNAcentral is "partial 16S ribosomal RNA". It matches the Rfam family "Bacterial small subunit ribosomal RNA", at positions 524 to 776 of the family's 1533-position model. The record is from RNAcentral.
UACGUAGGUGGCAAGCGUUAUCCGGAUUUAUUGGGCGUAAAGGGAACGCAGGCGGUCUUUUAAGUCUGAUGUGAAAGCCUUCGGCUUAACCGGAGUAGUGCAUUGGAAACUGGGAGACUUGAGUGCAGAAGAGGAGAGUGGAACUCCAUGUGUAGCGGUGAAAUGCGUAGAUAUACGGAAGAACACCAGUGGCGAAAGCGGCUCUCUGGUCUGUAACUGACGCUGAGGCUCGAAAGCGUGGGGAGCAAACAGG